Molecule: long non-coding RNA, 299 nt
Filed under: Prunus persica (peach)
Lineage: Eukaryota; Viridiplantae; Streptophyta; Magnoliopsida; Rosales; Rosaceae
Description: long non-coding RNA (PPER_LNC000522)
Source: RNAcentral
UGAAAGCUUUGAGCCCAAACCUUGUAUAAUGAAAGAGGAAAAAAUGCAAUACAAUUUCUUACAAAAUUAAUGUCAUACACAGCCAUUUAGGGCAUAAUUAAUGCCAUAAAUUACAAGCAUCAUUCAAUCCAUAUAUCUUCACACCCAUCUCGAAUAUUUUGACUUCCAGACUCACCGGCUAGUUCAUCAAAUGUGUCAACAUUUGGCAUCCCUCUAGUAAAUGGUUCACACUCAAUUCUCACAUCACCUAAGACAUCAUCACCAAUAACAUCAUUAUAUUCUCUAUUAGGCAUUGAUAA